GUUUGAUCCUGGCUCAGGAUGAACGCUUUUUGCGUGCUUAACACCUGCAAUUCAAACUAAUCACUUUACUUGUUUUCUUCUGAAUGAAGUUUUUGUGACUGAUUGGCCGACGGGUGAGUAACGCUCGGGUAACCUGCCUCAUACAGGGGGAUAACAGUUGGAAAACGACUGCUAAUACCGCAUAAGCGCACAGGAUUGCAUGAUCCAGUGUGAAAAACUCCGGUGGUAUGAGAUGGACCCGCGUCUGAUUAGCCAGUUGGCGGGGUAACGGCCCACCAAAGCGACGAUCAGUAGCCGACCUGAGAGGGUGACCGGCCACAUUGGGACUGAGACACGGCCCAAACUCCUACGGGAGGCAGCAGUGGGGAAUAUUGCACAAUGGGGGAAACCCUGAUGCAGCGACGCCGCGUGAGCGAAGAAGUAUUUCGGUAUGUAAAGCUCUAUCAGCAGGGAAGAAGAAUGACGGUACCUGACUAAGAAGCACCGGCUAAAUACGUGCCAGCAGCCGCGGUAAUACGUAUGGUGCAAGCGUUAUCCGGAUUUACUGGGUGUAAAGGGAGCGCAGGCGGUACGGCAAGUCUGAUGUGAAAUCCCGGGGCUCAACCCCGGUACUGCAUUGGAAACUGUCGGACUAGAGUGUCGGAGGGGUAAGUGGAAUUCCUAGUGUAGCGGUGAAAUGCGUAGAUAUUAGGAGGAACACCAAUGGCGAAGGCGGCUUACUGGACGAUUACUGACGCUGAGGCUCGAAAGCGUGGGGAGCAAACAGGAUUAGAUACCCUGGUAGUCCACGCCGUAAACGA
RNAcentral lists this ribosomal RNA (800 nucleotides) under uncultured bacterium. Its description in RNAcentral is "bacterial SSU rRNA". It matches the Rfam family "Bacterial small subunit ribosomal RNA", at positions 11 to 809 of the family's 1533-position model. The record is from RNAcentral.